Molecule: long non-coding RNA, 398 nt
Filed under: Trifolium pratense (red clover)
Lineage: Eukaryota; Viridiplantae; Streptophyta; Magnoliopsida; Fabales; Fabaceae
Description: long non-coding RNA (TPRA_LNC000098)
Source: RNAcentral
CGGUUUCUUAGCUACAAGAACGCUUUCGCACGUUGCAAAAACUAACAUUUUAUUUUAAUGAAGUAAUAUUUUCAAUUUAAAGAACAAUAAUUUCAAUAUAAUCCAAUAAUAAAAGACAUACAAAUUAAACUAAAAUGAUUAUCAUUCAUAUAUAUCAAAAUAAUAACAUCGAUCAACGUAAUGUUGUCCUAAUAUUGUCAAUCAUUCAUAAUCAAACUAAUCAGACCACUGUCCUAACUUGGGCAACCUCAUCAGCAUGCUCUCUUUUAAGUUUUUUAAUUUCUUCAUUUCUUUUCAAGAGCGUGAGGGUUGUGGUUCUUCCGUGGCAACGCAUUCUCCCAGGUUUUUCUUUGCCAACUAUACUUUGAAAGGCUUCUGAAGAAGGUUGCCCAUUGUUU